AUAAAACUGAAGGGUUUGAUACUGGCUCAGAACGUACGCUGACGGAAUGGAUUAGGCAUGCAAGUCGAACGAGCGAACUCUUCGGAGUGAGCUAGUGGCGAACGGGUGAGUAAUGCGUGGAUGAC
Molecule: ribosomal RNA, 125 nt
Filed under: Planctomycetota bacterium
Lineage: Bacteria; Pseudomonadati; Planctomycetota
Description: partial 16S ribosomal RNA
Rfam family: Bacterial small subunit ribosomal RNA
Source: RNAcentral